UUCUCCCGCAUCAGCCUCCCAAGUAGCUGGGAUUACAGGCGUGCGCCACCACGCCCGGCCCGUGGUGAUUGUUUUUUGACAAACACGCCAAUUUAAUUGAGAGAGGAAAUGAAGGUUGAUUUUUGGUUUUCUGAAAAAAUGGUGCUAAGAACGGCUGGAUAUCUGUUCGGAAAACAGUGAAUCUUAACUCUUGUUUUACCCUGUAUAAACCUAAAUGCAAAAGCUAAACUAGAAGUUAUAGAAAGAAACAUGGGGGAAGUCUUUGCAACUUUGGGGUAGGCAAAGAUUUCUUAGUAUGGAUACACAAGGCACUAGCCAUAAAGAAAAACAUUAAAAUUUAGACUUCACCAAAAUUUAAAGCUUCAACUCUUUGGAAGAGUUGAGAAAAUGAAAGAGCAGUUAAAGAAAGGGAGAAAAUACUUCUGUCCUUCAAAGGACUUAAAAAAAAAUUUUCAGCCCUCCUCUGAUUUCAAAGGACCUUUGACCAGAGUAUGUAAAAUUCUCUCAUAACUAAGCAAACAACCCGGUUAACCACUGGGAAGGGAUCUGGACAGACAUUUCACCAAUAUGGGUGGAAUGGCCAGUUAACCACCGGGAGAGCAUCUGGACAGACGUUUCACCGAGGUGGAUGGAAUGGCCAGUUGAGCACAUGGAAAGACGCCCAGCAUCUCCAGUCAUAGGAGAAGGCAGAUUAAGGCCAUGGGGAGCUGACACUGCGGUCCCACUAGCAUGGCUGAAAUUCAGAAGCCCGGAGUGUGGCAUGAGGAUGUGGAUCAGCUGGAUCUCAUCCAUCGCUGUGAAGUUGUGUAGCCACUCCACAAACACGUGGGGCAAACAGCCGAGCCGGGAGAAGGGAAGACGUGUUCAAAGAUUUAUAUGUGGCCAGGCUCAGUGGCUCACGCCUGUAAUCCCAGAACUUUAGGGGCCAAGGCUGGGGGAUCGCUUAAGCCCAGGAGUUUGAGACCAGCCUAGGCAACAUAGGGAAACCCCAUC
Long non-coding RNA from Nomascus leucogenys (northern white-cheeked gibbon), 993 nucleotides. RefSeq lists it as uncharacterized. NCBI's taxonomy places the organism in Eukaryota, Metazoa, Chordata, Mammalia, Primates, Hylobatidae. The transcript is spliced from 2 exons. The record is from RefSeq and is a predicted model, not a curated record.